Molecule: RNA transcript, 1678 nt
Organism: Drosophila obscura
Lineage: Eukaryota; Metazoa; Arthropoda; Insecta; Diptera; Drosophilidae
Gene name: lachesin
Exons: 3
Source: RefSeq, a predicted model, not a curated record
UGUGUUUUGUGACAUAAUUUUUAUAUAAUCUCUUUUUAAUAUUUGUCAGUGCGUUUUUUGUUUUUUUUUGUGAAUUUGGUCAAUUUUGUGUUUCAUACAGUGCAAAAUGCCAUCAAGACGCAAGGGGAUGGCACCGUCGCACAAAUAAUGAAAGAUGUAUGCGACAAAGUAGAGCUUAAAGAACAGUCGAACGAAUCGAAGAAAAUAACGGAAAUGUGCAUGGGGGCAUGGCUCAAUUGCAUGAAUCUUAAUCAGUAGAGAUACGAAAUGAACAUAGACAAUUGGAACGGAGACGUUACAUAAUUGACAAUAUCAGAAAAAAUUACCGACAAAUGGUUAGCAGAAUAACUUAAAAACUAUGGAAAAGCGACCACGGCUCGGAAUAUCGCGAUUUUCAAACAGAUGGACCGAUUUUCAUGGUAUUUGAUUUGUUGAAUUGGUCUCCAUCCAGGUUAACAGAGUAGCUUUAAAAAACUAUUGAAAAAGCGAUCACGCUCGGAAAACGUUCGUAAUGUUGAAUGAAGUUGGCCUUUCCAGGGUUGUCAAACGUUUGCUUGAUUUUUUGUAAUGAAAGUGUUACUUAAAUCAAAAAAUAAGUUCAGUCGGCUUAGAAUGUUUAUAGAGUACAGAUGAAAUAAAACAAAACAAGUAGUUUAAAAGUGCCAGUUUUUGUAACAGUUGGGAAAUUGUGUGGAAUGUGGUAAAUAAAUUUGUGAUUUGUGUGUUUUGUCCGUAAUGCAAUUAGGCUACGGAACAGUGCGAAUCAAUUAACUCAUGAAGAAUUACAAAUUGCACGAAAGGCGUUGAUUUGUCACGAAAGCUUGCGAGUAUUGCAUUGAAGUUUUCUGGAUAAACGCCUGUAAAUCAAGAUUAAAAUCCUAAGAUUAAAAAUGGUUUUCAAAUAUGAAUGAGGAAGAACGGGAAUCCGUACAGGAGAUAAUAAAACGAAGCAUCAAUGUGCGUAGCGGGAGACGUAAUGGGAGUCGAUAAACUGAAAAUGACGUAAAUGGAAUAUUGGGUAUUUUAUACUUUCCAAUUAAUGCAAAAAUUAAUUUAUAUUGAACGUGUUAUUCGACUCACGUCUGGUCCGUUAUCAGGAACUACAAGAGGUAGACCAACGGAUUUUUUUUUUGUGAAGACUCACAGUGAAUAACUGUAUCUCAAAUAAACCCCUUAAAAUCACAAGGCUUUGGCACAAUUUUGAAGGUACAAAAACCCCGAAUAGCAACUAGCUCGAUCCGGAACCUUUUUCCCGUAGAUCUCAUUGAACAUGGGUGCAAAGUUGGCUCCCUCUUAAAAUGAGAGUAACCAAACCAUAGAAAUUGCAGAGAACAGAUUCCUGUAUCCCAGAUUACUGUAUUCAUGACAUGCAAAUGUAGUCCGCAUCUGCACAGAUUACUCAAAGUUAGAUGGCGGCAUAGGUGGAGGAGUAUACUCUGAGGAGCUUAAUAACAGUCUCUGCUUCAGAAUCCCAUAUCACGGCUUUAUGGUAAUCUCUCCAAAUUCUCUAUAGACAAGCACUUGUAUGUGUAUAUAUGUAUCUUCUGGAACAGCUAAACAGUAAUUAAAACACAAGAGUUCAUGCAAAACCACCCAAUCUUUAUGCAAAAGAUUUCGCCUUAGAAGAAAAAAAUUAUUUCUUCAAAAACUUUUCUUGUGGGUUGAUACAUGGUGAAAU